Molecule: transfer-messenger RNA, 363 nt
Filed under: Escherichia coli
Lineage: Bacteria; Pseudomonadati; Pseudomonadota; Gammaproteobacteria; Enterobacterales; Enterobacteriaceae
Rfam family: transfer-messenger RNA
About the family: Bacterial tmRNA, also known as 10Sa RNA or SsrA, is named for its dual tRNA and mRNA-like properties.
Source: RNAcentral
GGGGCUGAUUCUGGAUUCGACGGGAUUUGCGAAACCCAAGGUGCAUGCCGAGGGGCGGUUGGCCUCGUAAAAAGCCGCAAAAAAUAGUCGCAAACGACGAAAACUACGCUUUAGCAGCUUAAUAACCUGCUUAGAGCCCUCUCUCCCUAGCCUCCGCUCUUAGGACGGGGAUCAAGAGAGGUCAAACCCAAAAGAGAUCGCGUGGAAGCCCUGCCUGGGGUUGAAGCGUUAAAACUUAAUCAGGCUAGUUUGUUAGUGGCGUGUCCGUCCGCAGCUGGCAAGCGAAUGUAAAGACUGGCUAAGCAUGUAGUACCGAGGACGUAGGAAUUUCGGACGCGGGUUCAACUCCCGCCAGCUCCACCA